GCUGUCUGUGAAAGGGUGAGAGGCGGCGCGGUUACAAAUGCAAGGCUUCCAUCGCCCAACCAGCCAACUCGGUGCUCCUUCCAUUCGCUCGGCGUCUACACCACCGCAUCCCCGGAACUUUCUCGGCUGCACCUGCGUGUGAGCGCCUCCCGCUUCCAGGAAGAGGAAAAUGUGGACACGGAAACCCAGGAGGAACACCAUGUGAUUCCUGAGGCAGAGAUUGGAGUUAUUCUGCCUCAAGCCAAGGAAUGCCAAGGAUCACUGGCCAGCAGCGGAAGCCAGGAGAAAGAUAUCUAUAAUUACAUAUUUGGCAGUAUUUGGUAACCAGACUGAUGGAAUUUGAAGGAAUUGGGAGUUUUCUGAAGAAAGUGGCUUCAUCAAG
Molecule: long non-coding RNA, 382 nt
Organism: Dama dama (fallow deer)
Lineage: Eukaryota; Metazoa; Chordata; Mammalia; Artiodactyla; Cervidae
Exons: 3
Source: RefSeq, a predicted model, not a curated record